Molecule: ribosomal RNA, 497 nt
Filed under: uncultured bacterium
Lineage: Bacteria
Description: partial 16S ribosomal RNA
Rfam family: Bacterial small subunit ribosomal RNA
Source: RNAcentral
GAUGAACGCUGGCGGCGUGCCUAAUACAUGCAAGUCGAGCGAACAGACGAGGAGCUUGCUCCUCUGACGUUAGCGGCGGACGGGUGAGUCACACGUGGAUAACCUACCUAUAAGACUGGGAUAACUUCGGGACACCGGAGCUAAUACCGGAUAAUAUAUUGAACCGCAUGGUUCAAUAGUAAAAUACGGUUUUUCUGUCACUUCUAGAUGCUUCCGCGCGGCAUUAGCUAGUUGGUAAGGUAACGGCUUACCAAGGCUACGAUGCGUAGCCGACCUGAGAGGGUGAUAGGCCACACUGGAACUGGGACACGGUCCAGACGCCUACGGGAGGCAGCAGUAGGGAAUCUUACGCAAUGGGCGAAAGCUUGACGGAGCAACGCCGCGUGAGUGAUGAAGGUCUUCGGAUCGUAAAACUCUGUUAUUAGGGAAGAACAAAUGUGUAAGGAAAUAUGCACGUCUUGACGGUACCGAAUCAGAAAGCAACGGCUAACUACGUG